This 20-nucleotide microRNA is filed under the name Gorilla gorilla (western gorilla). RNAcentral describes it as "ggo-miR-4738". Lineage: Eukaryota; Metazoa; Chordata; Mammalia; Primates; Hominidae. RNAcentral also lists the same sequence under 1 other name. The record is from miRBase by way of RNAcentral.
UGAAACUGGAGCGCCUGGAG